This 407-nucleotide ribosomal RNA is filed under the name uncultured bacterium. RNAcentral's name for it is "partial 16S ribosomal RNA". It matches the Rfam family "Bacterial small subunit ribosomal RNA", at positions 28 to 526 of the family's 1533-position model. The record is from RNAcentral.
GACGAACGCUGGCGGCGUGCCUAAUACAUGCAAGUAGGACGCAGUUGCGAACGGGAGAGUAACGCGUAGGUAACUACCUAUUAGAGGGGGAUAACAAUUGGAAACGAUAGCUAAUACCGCAUACUAGUAGAUGGACCUGCGUUGUAUUAGCUAGUAUGUAGGGUAAGGGCCUACCUAGGCAACGAUACAUAGCCGACCUGGGGGGGUGGUCGGCCACACCGGGACUUGGACACCGCCCAGGACCCUACCGGAGGCAGCAGUAGGGGAUCUUCGGCCAAGGGGCGAACCCUGACCGCGCAACGCCGCGUGAGUGAAGAAGGUUUUCCGAUCGUAAAGCUCUGUUGUUCAGGAAGCGGUACUUAACCAGAAAGCGACGGCUAACUACGUGCCAGCAGCCGCGGUAAUUC